Non-coding RNA from Pelobates cultripes (western spadefoot toad), 141 nucleotides. Lineage: Eukaryota; Metazoa; Chordata; Amphibia; Anura; Pelobatidae. The record is from the annotation of a GenBank genome assembly.
GGGUUCAUGGUGCCUCCCACAAUUACAGGCCAAGCCAUAUAUAUAUAUAUAUAUAUAUAUAUAUAUAUAUAUAUAUAUAUAUAUAUAUAUUAUAUGUUGGAAGGCCAAUUGGCCUGAACUUGUGGGAGGAGUAAUGAUCCU